RNAcentral lists this ribosomal RNA (205 nucleotides) under uncultured bacterium. RNAcentral's name for it is "partial 16S ribosomal RNA". It matches the Rfam family "Bacterial small subunit ribosomal RNA", at positions 568 to 774 of the family's 1533-position model. The record is from RNAcentral.
CGUGUAGGCGGCCAGGUAGGUCUGCUGUGAAAACUCGAGGCUCAACCUCGAGAUGUCGGCAGAAACCAUCUGGCUAGAGUCCGGAAGAGGAGAGUGGAAUUCCUGGUGUAGCGGUGAAAUGCGCAGAUAUCAGGAAGAACACCCGUGGCGAAGGCGGCUCUCUGGGACGGUACUGACGCUGAGACGCGAAGCGUGGGAGCGAACA